This 394-nucleotide ribosomal RNA is filed under the name uncultured bacterium. RNAcentral's name for it is "bacterial SSU rRNA". It matches the Rfam family "Bacterial small subunit ribosomal RNA", at positions 28 to 429 of the family's 1533-position model. The record is from RNAcentral.
GACGAACGCUGGCGGCGUGCUUAACACAUGCAAGUCGAGCGGUAAGGCCUUUCGGGGGUACACGAGCGGCGAACGGGUGAGUAACACGUGGGUGACCUGCCCUCAGCUCUGGGAUAAGCCUGGGAAACCGGGUCUAAUACCGGAUAUGACUCCAUGACGCAUGUUGUGGGGUGGAAAGCCUUGUGCGGCUGAGGAUGGGCCCGCGGCCUAUCAGCUUGUUGGUGGGGGAUGGCCUACCAAGGCGACGACGGGUAGCCGGCCUGAGAGGGCGACCGGCCACACUGGGACUGAGACACGGCCCAGACUCCUACGGGAGGCAGCAGUGGGGAAUCUUGCGCAAUGGGCGAAAGCCUGACGCAGCGACGCCGCGUGAGGGAUGACGGCCUGGUGUAAC